This 206-nucleotide ribosomal RNA is filed under the name uncultured bacterium. Its description in RNAcentral is "partial 16S ribosomal RNA". It matches the Rfam family "Bacterial small subunit ribosomal RNA", at positions 568 to 775 of the family's 1533-position model. The record is from RNAcentral.
UGCGUAGGUGGUUCUGCAAGUCUGAUGUGAAAUCUCCGGGCUUAACCCGGAAAUGGCAUUGGAAACUGCAGGGCUAGAGUGUUGGGGGGGGGACUGGAAUUCUCGGUGUAGCAGUGAAAUGCGUAGAUACCGAGAGGAACACCAGUGGCGAAGGCGAGUCCCUGGACAACUACUGACACUGAGGCACGAAAGUGGAGGGCGAACAA